This 98-nucleotide small RNA is filed under the name Gramella sp. MAR_2010_147. RNAcentral's name for it is "Flavo-1 RNA". It matches the Rfam family "Flavo-1 RNA". Lineage: Bacteria; Pseudomonadati; Bacteroidota; Flavobacteriia; Flavobacteriales; Flavobacteriaceae. The record is from RNAcentral.
AAAUAAAUGCGUUAGGGAUUGCAGCGGCAUCCUUUUACCUGCAUGCUGAGUUUAUCGAAGCAUAGCGGUAAAAGAUAAAGCGAAAAGCCCGGCCUGAA